AAGUGAUGUUCCCUGUUAUGUUUUGCAGAACCAAAGGCUUGUGGCAGAAAGGUAGCUGGCAUAAGCGAGGUCUCCCUAUGAAAAGUAAUUUUGCUUUGCUAAUGGCAAGCGGCUCAGCAAAGAGAGACCUUGGAGCCUUCACUGCUGUCCUCCCGUGAUUCCUGGUUCUUGCCUGACUUCUGGGGCAGAUGCUGGAGGAUGUGAGUGACUCUUCUCUGCAAUGAGAAUCAUUACUCGUUAGCACAGUUCUUGGUACUCUGUCUGGGACUUGCAGUGUCCAGUUUUCAUUCCCCAGGCCUGUUGCCUUCCCCGGUCUCAGCGCUAAGGUACUAGACUAGAAACCCUGCUCUGGUGGCGGACACUACCCCAAGCCUUCAAGAAUCCGUCAUGCAUCGCAUCCCUUCAGACGCUCCUAUUGUGCAUCCCUGGAUCUCUUUCCUCCUUCCCUGCAUUUUUUGGCAUCCCGCACUGCCCUGCUCUGCAGGCUGAGGGAAGGAAGCACAUCAUGAGCUGACCUCCUGGGCUGAACGUGUCCCCGCUCCGCCAGGCAGAGCUGUCCCGCUCCAGCCCCCUCCUCCUGCUCUCCCCAGCCCCAAAAAGCCUUUGUCCGCCUGUCGAGAGCAGCCCCCCGUCCGUCCCCAGCGUUCCCACAUGGCGCACCCUCCCCAGCAGCCCCCUCCUCAUUCAGCACUUGGGGCUGAAAGAACCUCGGCUAAUUACGCCGGGCUGAAAAUUACCACUUUGCUGUGUUCUCCUGCUGCUGGGCCCAUUUGUGUGGGGCCUGUAGUUAGAGGGAACAAAGCCCCCCCCCCGCGGAGCCAGGCAGGCCCCAAGUGUGAAGCUACAGGUACAAGCAAGAGGGGAAUGAAGGGAAUAAUUACCAGCUUCUCCAGGUGAAAGCCCCGUUAAAACUUCAAUAAGCCAAUUAGGGGCCAGGGUGGGUGUUUGGGGGGGAGAGUGUCCCCCACCUAUGAGUGAUUCCCACCAGGCAAUUAACAGAAAUCAUUUCACGGAGGGGAGGGGAGGGUAAGAAAUGGCUCUUAGAAAUUGUGCCGGGUUGGGGGGGGGGGGGGCUGAAACAGCACGACCGCUGCAGUGGUCCUCGUGUGCCCCAAGCUCCCCGCUCACUGUGUGGCCUCCAAGGGUUGGUGGGGAUAGGGGGAGAGGGAGGAGGGAGAGAAAAACGGGAAAGAAAAAGGAAUCGCUGGAGCUUUACACCUGGGCAGGCUUUGAGAGAGCAAGGGCUGGAGUUCAGAGCUGUGUGUGGGCCCGGAGCUCUGAGCUCAAGGGAGCUGCUGGAUCCAGGGAGGUGGGUGAGGGGGAAGCCCAGGGUGUCUAGAGGUAGAGGUAGGAGUGCAGGAGGGUGAGAACUGAGUGCCAGGUCUUCAGAGAUCUGCCUGAGAUGUGUCUGCAGGUGCCAGCUGCCUUACCCCAAAAGCAAAUGGUGUCUGUGAGGUUUCGUUCUGCUCUGCUGUUUAACCAACUAGUCUUGGGAAGUCCCUAGACUUCCUUUUUUUUUCUCUCCAGGGAGCUUUCUGUGGUUGCAAUAGAAAACUGUAUCUCUUGCACAGCCCUCCUUUUAGACCUGGAAAUGGUUUCUCAGCAGUCACGUUCAGCAGUGAUUUGUCUUCCAAGAUGUAUGCCCAGAAAGGAAGUUCUGUUCAUGAAAAGCGAGCGUGCAGAGGCAAAUGGUUUUAGGAUUGCCUUUCUGCACCCUUGAUGCUGUUUGGUACGUGUUGCUCAGACCAGUGCCCAGGCUGCAUUCUGUAUGACAAUUCUUCUUUGGUUAAAGAGUGUAUGGACCAACCACUCCAUGCCUGGCAAGCCCGGAGGUUGGGGAAGGAGGACAGGGCUGGUGAAGGGGCAGUGAACAAGGAUAUGGGAUGACUUGAGCAGAUGAUACAGAGUGAGACUGCAAAGCAAUGGCUGCAGGGUGGAGGUGUCCAGCCUGCGUGUCUCUGAAGUCUGGAGGAAGACAUGAAGGUAGAAGCCAAUGGAGAGGGUUGGAGAGGUGAAGCUGACCUUUCCUCUACCCUGAGGCGUACAGUAAACGAUGUGGGAGACAAUGACGUGAGCAUUUCUUCUCUCAAACGUGCUGGAAUUCUGCCUCAAAUGUGGGACUGUUUCAACCUGGCUUCACUACAGUGCCCUUCAGUACAAAAUACAAAUGGCUUCUUUUUGGGGACCGCUUUCUAGUUGUCCACUCGGGGCUCGAGGCAGCAUGCGAAUGAGUUAUUAGCCCGUCUCUCCGUGCCCGUGUCACUGGUGCUCCUUGCCAGAGCACGGCAAUUCCUGCUGGAGCAGCUGUGGUUGUAAACGUUGCGGUGUUCAUGCGGUCUUCUUUACGCAUUUUGCUUUCUCUCUGUGCUGGGACCCUGCUGGAGCAUCUGCGGGGACUGGGCAGAGCUCUUCUGUAGCUUCUCUGUGUGCUAUUUACGAUGCAUAUCAGGAGCACAGUUCAACCCUGAGCUGGCUGAUGCCUUGGGACACACUGCGGCAUGCACACGAGGCUGAAGGAAGCAACUGCAGACAUGCCAGCACUUUCUAGUCUGUUUGUGGAGCGAGCCUGGUCAUUUGCCUCCAGCUGCUGGUUCUCUUUGACAACAUUAUUCAAGGCUGAACAAAGGUGAGGCUAUGCUGCCAUGGCUCUCUGCUAGAUCAGGUAAACUCAGUCCUGUUAUUGAGUCCAAAUACAGGACUAUUUUACGUGGAUGCAAUCACUUGGGCCUAAAUAAAAGCUCACCUUUAGAGCACCCCUGAAGAUCUUCGUAGUGAGUUUGGGUAAGCAGUACAGGGAGCUGAGCAGAUUGCUGCAAGCAGACUCCCGAAACCAGGCUUUAACAAAGUGCAGUUGAGAUACCCUUGAGCCUAGAACAGCAGCCAGAGAUGCAGAUAGAAAAUAAUUUAAGUCAGAUUGAUGCAUCUUGUCUUCUUCUCCUUGCAUUGAAGGUCUGGAGCUGGGGUGUUGCAUGGCAGGAUGUGGGAGGAGUGUGGUACAUGGGAUGGGAAGGUCAGAAAGGCUCUUGAGGACUGAGAAUUAUGGAAAAACUUAGUCUGGUAUCAAAAGCUAGCGGGUUAUUGCAGGGCUGUAGUAAAUUGGAUGCAACUUGCACUUGUUAUUUCAGGUUUUGGACAGUUGUGUGUCAUCAGCCUCUUCAAUGUUUCCAGUCCUAUUGUCUUCUAAAUAGUUUUCCACUCUUCCACACUCCCUGUUCUGCAAAGGCACGAUUUUGACUUAUUAACAGCAGCCAGACUUUUGGUGUAACUGCCUUUCCUGCUGACUUUUGCUCAGUUUGUGGUUACUGAGUUGUCAGCACAUAAACCAGCUGUCCUGGUUUACUGGAGAUACUCAUGAUGAGAUGAUGCUUAGUUCAGUUUUCUGGUUAUCCUGCAAGAGGUACAAAGUAGGACUAAUGGGAUCUGUUUGGGGUAGUGUAUCUCUGGGGAAUGAAGGGGCAACACCAGGCUUGCCUGCCCACCUGAUCCUGGCUUUGUCCAGCAUUGCACAAAUAAAAGGCUGGUGGGAAUUUUUGCACAUUUGUGGAGAAGAAAAAAAUGAUGCCACACUUUUUUUUUCCUUCUUCUGCAAGUUAAAUGCCUCUGGGUAAGGAGCACCUGCUUCCCCCACUGUCCCCAUCCCUCUUCCUUUGUGUGCAUCUGCUCUGCUGGAGAAGCCUCGCGCUGGAGGUGCCGAAACUCGCCGUGCCGAGCAUCCUACCCCUUUUCUCUCCCCUUCACAAUGUUGCUACUGUUGCAUCUGCUCCCCAGCCUCCCGGGCCCUUCAGCGGGGGCUCCACCAAGUUUGUGUGACCUUAGCACUGCAUUCAUGCCGGAGGAGUUACCUUCUGUAACGAUGUCAACCGAUGAGGUUAGCGGGAUGCUGGCGGCCGCGAUAAGACAUGACAUGUUCUAAUGAUUCGCCCUAGCGAGCUGCGUGUGUGUGUUGGGGGGGCACAGAGGGGCUCGGAGAGGGGAGGUGGGGGCCCCACAGGUGCCGACAAAGACUUUGACCUUUGCUGCUAUAAUAUCAGUGUUUCACAGGCAGGGCGGUUCGGUAACCCACUUUCAGCCCAUCAAAAAUUGAUUUAAUUGCAAUUUUUUCCCCCAAUUAGGAGCACUGGAGCUUAACUAAUUGGAGUAAUAGAGAGUAAUAAGGCUCUGAUAAAAAGCCUUCCUCUGCCUCCUUUGUAUCUUGUGUCAUCGCCUGUCAGAGGUCAGAGAGCUUGCAUAUUCUAUUAGGCAGAGUUGCCUUCAUUUGUACAAAUUAGUUUACCCAACAGUAAUUAAAAUGCCUGUGCGGGUCGGGAAGAGCUGAAUACAAUUGAUGGGCACGUUGGUGAAGGAUUUGACAGCUCUGGUGGCCUCCCUUGCCAAAGCGUGUCAGUGCUGAAUCAAAGGCUACACAAACCCACAGACCCGUGUGCUUAACCCGCGGCACCGUCGGCACCAACUGCUUUCUCUCCUCUGCUCCGCGCUCCGUUUUUUGGCCUUGCUUUCUCUUCUCCUCCUUUUCUCAUCCCACUUGAGACUCCAUAAAAAAAACGUUUCCCAUCUCUGAGCCAUCCUUUCUGUCGAUGGCUUUCACAACGCUGCUGCCAGCCCCCCUGUCCUGUCUCCCUCGGUGCUCCCCCAGCUCUCCCCCCGCCUCCUACAUUCCCAGCUGCGGGGCUCUGUCAAGUAAUAACUUCUUUGUUUCCUGGUUUGAUGAGUCUCCAUGUCGAACAGUCUCCAAAAUGGAACAACGAUGUCCAGUUCCAAGGGGUGGGAGAGCAGGCAAGGAGGAAGGAACAGGCUCUUGCACGUGUCAAGCAGAUUCUGGGUUCAAAAUCUGUGAAAAGCAGAAUGGGACUUGGGAAGCAAUCCGGUAACACUACAGGGCGCAAGCCUUGAGCACGGUGGAAGCUGAGAAGAGGUUGGAAAGGACCAGUUUCACCCAGGUUCCUUCAAUGUCCACAUUGUGGGAUGCCCAGCUCAGGCAGCACUUGCUCUGAAGGCUGGGCUGACGCUGAGGAAGGUAUGUAGUGUACAACGGGGUUUGCACCACUGGAGCUGAGACCAUUCCCCAGCUUCAUGACAAAGAGAAUCCUUUAGAAAACACUGAUGUGCUGCUACCUCCUUCCCCUGGUUCUUCCACAUCUGUCCAGCAUGGGGUAAAGAAAGGUGCUACAGGUGGGUUGAAGCUGUUGUUGGUAUUUUAGGAGCAGGCGUGGGACUGUUGCAGCUGCAUUUUAGCCAGAAACUGCUGUUGCCAGAAACUACAACUUCUACUCCUACAACUGCUGUUGCCAGAAAUGCCAUGGGAUCAUCAGUGACCACAAGUCAGUUGGAUGGACAACAGCACUGCCAAAAUACGCACUCUCUGUCAUCCGUCCCCUGGCACAGCUUCUGUAGUGGAGGGAUGAUCUCUUCUGAAAUAUCUCCUCUCUAGCAUACAUAGUGGCUUUUACAUGGCAGAGGAGAGCAUAGUGGGGAAAGAGACUGCAUCCACAAGCCUGACCGAAGCUUGGGCACAGCAGUUUUUACGGAGUACAAAAAUACAUCUGGUCACUGUCUGUGUACAGCAGUACCACGUACUUGAGCCGUGGGUCAUCCCUGUGGUAUCAUAUAUAGGUUAUCUUGUGCUUUCUACUUCCCAGUCCAGUGUCUCUUCAAUCCCUGACUCUGAAAGCGCUGGAAGGCAAAAUAAAUGACAUUUAUUAAGUCAGAGAGUAAGACUUAUUCUGUCCUGUUUGUGUACUAUUUUUUUUAGCAGCUCAGUUGGAGUUAUUUCUCUUUGGCAGCUGGCAGGAACAGCUGUGAAGAGAUUGCACUUCUCUAGAUCAGAGGUUUUUGGUGCAUGCUCUGUGCUUCUAAGACAAAAAGCCGUGUUAAAAGGCAAAAUGAAAGAAGUAAGCCUGGUGGAAGGUUUCCAUUCCACUUCCAGAGGCUUUGGAGACAAGCUUUACGUGCUUAGCUCCAGCCUGCGUGCUGUCAGACCCACCCAAGUUUUCUUGUGUUGCUCCUUCUGCUUGGAGCAAACCCCUCACCUCUGAGAGGUUCCCAAUUUGAGAGACCUGAGGAUUGAAGCUGUCUGUCUGCAGGCCAGGCUUGGGGGCCCUGGGAAUCCAGCCUUCCCCUUCCAUUUGCUCCCAGGCUUUGACAGUUUCUCGGUGGCACCACUGCUUUGUGCGUGCUUUGUGAAUGCUGCUCUCUAAUCCUGGCAGCGAAGAUGCCCCACUCUUCUGGGAGAAGUCUUAUCUUUGCUUGCUAAUGGGCUCCAGCCUUUUAAAGAUAAGGUUUGCAAACCUGAUCCUGCUGAAGUAUGAGAGAAAAUUCCUGUUGACUGAAUGAAGGCAGCUUUACCCAGAAGAGACUUGUUUGUGGCCCUGAGGCCUGUACGUGAUGCUGGGGAGAAAUCUCUUCAUCUAAUGUUUUUUGUUUCCCUUUUUUCUUUUUCUUUUUUUUUUUUCUUUUUUUUCGGAGGGUAGGGGAUAAGGACUGAGGAGGGAAAGCUGAAGUCCAGGACUGACAGCAUGAGCGGGGAUUAGACCUUGCCGUUCCUCCCACCUUUCUCUCCCUGUUGGUGUGCCUCCAUGCUAAUUUAGACCUGUGGCAACCAUCAAAGCCUGGCUGCAUACCUUCUGCACAAAGGGGCCUGUCUCCCACGUGAGGGCGUUCUCUGCUGGGACAAAGUCAGUUUGUCCCCCAAAAGAAAAAUCUUAAGCACCCAAUUGCCUGCUUGACUGACUCCCUGACUGCUAUUAUGUUUCUAACCACGGUAAUUGGCUUUAGGAGUUAUUAAUGGAUUAUGUUUGGGGAGGGAGGGACAGAACCCAACACCUAGCUUUGUAGCUGAAGGACUCCCUGACCAAAGUGCUGCUUUCCAGACACGGGGUUUGCCUGGUGAGCUGUCAGGGUGACUCCUUUUUGCUGGUUACACCUGAGCCAGAUGUUGGCGAGAGGGGAAUGUGCUGUGCUUGGUGGAGGGAAGGCAGGUGUUGGGCAAAAACCCUAUUUCCAAGUGCAAAAUGCUGCAGGCUUUCCUAUUUGGCCCUCAGGGCUGCUGCACAACAGGAAUCAGCUUUUAAGAGACUUUUCCUUGGGCUCUCAGCUCUUUGAGAUGGUUUGGUUGAGAUGGUUUGGUGAUAGCUGCCUUCAGCCUUAGGAUUUGGAGAAACCAAUUGCUCAGGUAAAACAUGGAGCUGGGAGUAAAGAGUCCUGAGAUCUGACCUGGCUUCCUCAUGACUCUUCUCUGGCUUUGAUCAAGUCGAAUGCGUGUUCACUGCCUUGCUGCUGGAUGCCUCCUAACGCCAGCAGUGCUUCUCACAGAAGUACAGGACAAGAAUCCAUUCCCACUACAUUAGAGGCUUGGAGAAACCGUCUGACUUCAAAAGGAAGAACGUUGUAGGGGAUCAACAAAAUAUUUAAAAACUACUAUUUUUACAGACACGAUACAUUUCCUUAUUUUGCGUUCCUCUUUGAGCUUCCAUCCCCUAUGUCACGCUGCAGAAGAUGUUUAGGCAAAGCAGAGAGGCAGCUUUUAUUUAAAGCAGGCCCCAUUUCCUGCAUUUGUGCUAUCCUUGUUGCAACGACUUAAACAUAGUUUUGGUGUUUUAUUCUCAGUAGCUGCAAUAACUGUGGCUUUGUGAGAGGUCAUUUAUAGUUUACUUAGAAAUCUUUGUAUGAGCUAGUUUCUCAUUUUUGUCUGAGGAUGGGUAGCUGUCACAAAACAAGCAUGUUUUCUUGCUGCUUUAAUUUAAGGAUUUGUUCCUCUCUUAAAAACUAGUUUGAGGCCAAUGACUGUCAGGCAACCUCUGGAGCUACAUGUGGAGAAGGGAUGCGGCAUCACCAAGAGUUCUUUGUAACGGGCCCUGCUGGAAAGUGUGAACUGAGACAAAUCUUGAUGCCUCUGGUAGAGAGUGCUUGAGCACUGGAGAGGGCAUCCUGAUCCAGCUUUGAAAUCGGCCUUACUUUGAGCAGGUUGGAUGGGAGACCUCCAUUCUGUGAUUUGUUAGGCCUGUGACGCUGCAGCCAAUUCAUGGUUGUGCAGUGAAGUUGUAUGUGCCAUGACAUGAAUUGAAAAUUAAUGGGGAAUUUUCCAUGGGGUGUUCCUGCAGCUGACAGCACUGACAGUGUAUGAAAUGUCCUGAGUACAGUAAGAUUUUGAAAACAUCACUGCAAUUUACAGCUGUUCCUGUUUUAGGCUUUCCAUCCACACAUGCAAAUACUUUUCUGCCUGCUCUUGUGAAAUGUGGUGGAAUAUACUGAAAUAGUCUUGAACCAGAAUUCAAAGCCUUGAAGCCUGCCUUGCAGCCCAUGUUCUCUGUCUUGCUCACACUCUUUCUUCAGAACACGAGGAGUAGUAAGUGUUUUUGUUUGUUUUGUUU
Molecule: long non-coding RNA, 8366 nt
Organism: Anas platyrhynchos (mallard)
Lineage: Eukaryota; Metazoa; Chordata; Aves; Anseriformes; Anatidae
Source: RefSeq, a predicted model, not a curated record